This 253-nucleotide ribosomal RNA is filed under the name uncultured bacterium. Its description in RNAcentral is "partial 16S ribosomal RNA". It matches the Rfam family "Bacterial small subunit ribosomal RNA", at positions 524 to 776 of the family's 1533-position model. The record is from RNAcentral.
UACGAAGGGAGCUAGCGUUGUUCGGAAUAACUGGGCGUAAAGGGAGCGUAGGUGGAUAGGAACGUUAGAUGUGAAAGCCCCGGGCUUAACCUGGGAACGGCAUUUAAAACGGUUUAUCUAGAAGACGAGAGGGGAAAGCGGAAUGGCGAGUGGAGCAGUGAAAUGCGUAGAGAUGUGGAAGAACACCGAUGGCGAAGGCAGCCCCCUGGGAUGAGACUGACGCUCAUGUACGAAAGCGUGGGGAGCAAACAGG